AACCACAGCCAAGGGAACGGGCUUGGGGGAAUCAGCGGGGAAAGAAGACCCUGUUGAGCUUGACUCUAGUCUGG
Molecule: microRNA precursor, 74 nt
Filed under: Notamacropus eugenii (tammar wallaby)
Lineage: Eukaryota; Metazoa; Chordata; Mammalia; Diprotodontia; Macropodidae
Description: miRNA (ENSMEUG00000017939.1)
Rfam family: Eukaryotic large subunit ribosomal RNA
Source: RNAcentral